RNAcentral lists this long non-coding RNA (1768 nucleotides) under Helianthus annuus (common sunflower). Lineage: Eukaryota; Viridiplantae; Streptophyta; Magnoliopsida; Asterales; Asteraceae. The record is from RNAcentral.
UUCUCCAAUUUAGCAUCUUUUCUUCAGUAAAAUCAUUUUUCAGUUUGGCAAAUUGAUUUCUCUUCGUUUACCAAUUUCGAAUUGAAAACCUCUACCCAUCAAUCAAGUCUCUAUUCCAAUAGAACCCUGGAUUUCUGAGGACUUCACAAUAGCUAGCUGUUGAAUUCUAAAGGAAGACGAAGAUGGCUACAAUAAAUAUAGGUUUAGAUCUUUGCUCUGGUGGCUAUCUAGGGUUUCAGUGGCGGCCGAUGACUAGGUAUGUGAUGGCUUAGCUCAAUAGGUCGGCUUGGAAUGGGGAAUCUUACAGUAAGUUUCAAAGUGGGUUGGAGAAACCAGUCUGGAGGUUAAACGAGGAUCAUAUCGCAGAUGAUUAAAGGAUAAGCUUAUUACCUACAUUGUCUGCAAUUCCUCUACGUCGUUCAUCGCUCAUGACGUACAUUGUCUGCAGUUCCUUUACGCCGUUCUUCGUUAUGUAGUGGAUUGGGAUUCCUUUUUUUGCAACUGGAUUGAUUGCUACUCUGAUUGACAACACUUCUAAGAUACCAUUUCUUCUUAAUCUGAAUUUCAAAGAAUGGUUGGAACUGAGGAUUCUUGCCGAGGCUACACGUCCUCUACUUUAGUGGCGACGUGGACAGCAUCAGCAGUCGAUAUAAAACAAGCUACAUUUUACAACAGCGAUCGUUAUGUAAACGUCCAGGAUGAGCGUUUAAACCGUUUGAUGAAAUAGGCUGAUCCAUUCAAAGUGUCAAUCGAUCAUGGAACUAUUUUCAUGAUUGUUACCCAAGAUCUCGGAUUCUGCAGAUUUGUUGGUGUUAAACAGCUUGAAUAUUGCAUACAACUAAUGCAAGCGUUUGCUACCAUGUUCACGUACCAAGGUUUAAAUUUGUUGCUGAUUAGUGAUUCAAAAGUUGAUUACAGGUAUGAUUUUCAUCGGAUUGGGACACCGGUUAAUGAUCUGAUGAUGUGGAAUGAUGCAGCAAAAUCAACACUUUGGUUCGGGUUAGGGUCAUUUUGUUUCCUACCAUUAUGUUUUACAACUGAAUAGCUUCAGCCGACCUGUUCAGAUUAUGAAGAGGGAGAACAAAGGAGGUGGUGUUGGUUGUAGCCAAGAUAAUGAUGGUGGUGCACGGGGUGGACGAUGGUGGUGGUUUAUGAUUGAUCCGGUUGCAGCAGGUUACGAAGCUGGUGUCUUAGGGUCUCGAUGAUGUCGGUUGUGGUAAUCAUGUUACUUAAUAUUAAGCGGUCAAGAUGUUGAAAGAGGUUCUUUCAGUCACAUGAAUUCUGUUGUGCAUGAUCAAGAAACAGGGGAGCGUUACUGUCCGUUGGAUCAUGUAAUGAUGAAUCAACACAAACAAACCGUAAGCAACAGGUCAAUGCAUUUUUGUAUAAACAUCUAUACAUGAUUUCUUAUAUUUUUUUCUUUACAUCUUUAUUGAUGCUUAUAUGAUAAUAUAAAGUUCUUUUUCGAAGUUUGGUCUGUUGUGCUUUGACUUGGGCUAUUCAAUGGAAAAACGUAAUUAACUGGUAUUGUGGCAAGCUCAGUUUGGUAACUUUUUUUCCAAUGGGCCCAAGUUAUAUUUGAUCAAUUCUUGAGUAGUGACGAGGCUAAGUGGCUGCUAGACUGGGUUAGUUGUGUUGCCAUUCAUGGUUAAGAUGGUCAAGGGCUCGAACACUCCAGUGCAAGACUUGAGCGUUUUCUUCAGCUGCAUUUGGAGUUCCAUAAGCCGCUUAUCAUUAUGUCUUCUAAAAAUUUGCUUCGUCACAAAGA